CCAUCCAGUCACCCAGCCUCGGGAUGGACCCAUCAUCGCUGACGCCUCCACUUCUUUCACAUCCCAAGUCAGGUACGUCUCCAGUUCCUGAUAAUUGUAUGUCCUACAGGCCACUCAACGCUGCCUCUUCCUCCCUGUUUUCACCAUCGCAGCCUGGCUUCUCUCAUUACCCUGUCUUUCAUACCGUCGUAGCUCUUCUACUGGUCUCACUGCCUAUUUUGGGGAUCUUGUUACUCUACCUCUAUUAACUCUUUGACAGUGUAAAAAAGAUCAUGCUUUUAUUAAAAAAAUAUGAAUUUAUUAACACAGCACAACCCUCUUCUCUCCCCAUUCUGGUUCUUUAAACCCUCAUUCCCAGUUAUAGCAAAGCUGGAAUCUUCCCAAAGAGUCCAGACUUUCUCUUUCUGAAGACUUGGCACACACUGGGUUUCUGCUUAGGAAGGUUUUCCUUGUCUGCUCUUCUUCUGAAUCCUUGUAUUCACCUUUUUUGCUACGUCUCAGGGGUCACUUCCUUAAGGAAACUUCUUCUAACCCUGCCAAUAAGAGCCUGUCUGUGCCUUGUGAUCAGUGGUUUACUUGGUCAGGCAGGGAUAUUGCCACGAGUAGUAUAUCUCCAGUAUGCAGCUAGAUUCCUAGCACAGACUAGGCUCUCGAUAGAUGUUUAAUGAAUGAAUUAUGAAUGAAUGAUUGGAAAGCUUGCCAAUAGCGUGUCAUAAUAUUGACGUGGGUCCAUUGUAUAAACAAUCUCCAAGUACGUUUGCAAACACAUUUCUACUUGUGGCUAUUUGUGAAAGAAAACAGUGAAAACAAACAAACAAAAAAGGCUGUAUGUGCAACACCAGUAAAAAGGAAGUUUGGCCCUGAGUGCAUAAACAGACCAUCUGACCUUUUGCUGCUAAUAGUCUAAAUUGAUUGAUUACAUGAAUUCCAGAAGUGUGUGUGUGUUUUGUUUGUUUGUUUUUUGUUUUUUGUUUUUUUUUUUUUGUUUGUUUGUUUUUUUUUUGUCUUUUGUCUUUUUGUUGUUGUUGUUGUUGUUGCUAUUUCUUGGGCCGCUCAAGCGGCAUAUGGAGGUUCCCAGGCUAGGGGUUUAAUGGGAGCUGUAGCCACCGGCCUACACCAGAGCCACAGCAACGCGGGAUCCGAGCCGCGUCUGCAACCUACACCACAGCUCACGGCAACGCCGGAUCCUUAACCCACUGAGCAAGGGCAGGGACCGAACCCGCAAUCUCAUGGUUCCUAGUCGGAUUCGUUAACCACUGCGCCACGACGGGAACUCCCAUAGUUUGUUUUAAACAUAGCUGUGGGCUAAGCUUAAUCGAGAUUUUUAUUUAACAUGAUGUAUUUAUUUGGAACCAGAGGCCUUUGGGGACCUUUGGGGACCUUUGCUGUCUGGAUUUACGGCACCAAGAAUGUGCAGCGAGUGUGCGUGGGGCAGCAUGUGGGUUGUGGUGUGGAGCAGGUGACAGGCUGUGAGAGGUCUGUCCCCUUCCGUCUAAAAGCAGCUCGAGACUGGAGUAAGAGUCAUACCGAUACCUCAUAAUGUUUUCUAUUUUAACUCUGGAAACUCCCCUACUUCCCUUCGCAAAGGCAUAUUUUUCAUGACAUGAUUUCUUCUGGUUGACAAAUUCCUUUUUAUUCUUCCCCAAUAGAAUGUAUCAGUUUCCUUUUUGGCAUUCCAGUUUAGUUUUAUAGCCCCAAACUUCAGAUUUUAGAACUGGUGUUUAAAAGUUCAUUCCUUCUGAGAAAACAAGUAGGAAAACAGUGUCCGACAUUAUAAAGGUGAACCCGGUGCUCCACCUGCACAGCAUUACAACUGGCUAAUAGCAGUUUCAUUUGGGGGAGGUAUCUCCUAAAGAUGCAUAAGGGUUCAUGUUUUAAUAGUUUUCAUGUUUUCCCCUUUUUACUUUCUCUUUAUAGAAAUUGGAGACAUUUGUGUUUCAUCACGGUCCCUCCAGGGUUAUUACAAAUUCUGACAGUAUCAUUAAAGCUACUUUGAACCUUCUAUUUUUUAUGUACUUAUUUAUUUUGCAGACUUUAAGCAAGCUUAGAAUUAAUGUUUUCACUAUUUUCUCAACCUUUUAUUAAUCCAUAUAAAAAAUUUAAAGCUACCGACUCAUCAUAUUGCUUUUUCACUCAGCGUUGUCUUAGGGUUAUGCUAACAAACAGCUGACGAGGACGCUAUAUUUCUCAGCUAACAAGGUAGGAAGCAAGGGACAAGAGUCACCCUUCCCAACUUGAAGAAGAGAAAGUGGAAAAUAAGUAUUAGGAGGCGCCUCAGGAAACCCGAGUAUUUUCACCCUGCUUAUUUCCACUACUCCAAAUGGAAAUAUUGCUCAAAGGAGAAUUUUUCACGCCACCUCCUGUAUCUUGAAACGAAAUGCAUGCAUUUUCUUUUAAGAUGUAAGAAUUUUAAUGGCUUUUUUCACACAAUUCUGUGUUUGUCUCUCCUUACUCUUGCAGGGAACUGGCUCAUUUACCGGUUUAUAGGGACUUGGUUGAUGCAGUCACGUACAUACACACACAUGUACACGCGUGGAUGUUCACAUACAGUGAACACUGCCUUUUUACAGUUCAUGGUGCAUUCCUUCACACGUUCAGUUUAUUUAACUAGUUCUUUGUUGAUGAGCACUUAGGCUGUUUAAAAUAUUUUGCUGUUACAAAUAACGCUGUAGCGGUAACACUGCACAGAUAUUUCUCGUGAAGGUACUAGUCUCGGCCAAUUGUUCUCAGAACUGAAUUAUGUGAUCAGAAGUUAUAUGCAUUUGUAAUAUACAUAUAUUAUACGUAUAUAUAUGUCCAAAUAACCUCCAUAGAAGUAGAACACAUGUGUGCGUUUGUGUGUGUGUGUGUGUGUGUGUGUGUGUGUGUGUGUGUGUAAAGGGGGGGCAGAUCGUGUAUUUCUAUCAGCAACAUGAGAGUUGACUGGACUUUUGAAAAAGUCUUUGAUCUUUCACGCCAAGAAUUUCCACCCAUCCUCCCUUCCCAGGGCCACCUUCAGACACCAUGUCCUUCACAGAAAAGGCAGUCAGAGGAAAAGAGAUGAGGUCUCGUGGGCAGAACUAACGAGGUUUGAAAUGUCUUUUUUACGUAGCAGUGCCCCUGACUCCAUGGAACUCCAUGUGUUGAGUUUUGUCUGUAUGUUACACUUUGCGUGCACUAAAAUAAAACUUAGUAUUUUUCCCCUGAGACUUAUAUUUGAUUAAAUGUGUAAUUUUAAAAUGCGUUUAGAUUUACAGAAAAAUUUCAAUGUCACAUAAAUUGCACAGAUGGUACAGAGACCUCCUGUGUAUCCUAAUCCAGUUCCUCUCUUAAUAACAGCUUACCUUCCUAUGUACAUUUGUUAAACUUUAAAUUCGUUAAAAUUCUAUGAACCAAACAUGCAUUCUGAAGGUUUCCUCACUUUUUACCUUUUGUCCUUUUUCUGUUCCAAGGUGUCCAUCCAAGAUGCCACAUUCCUGUCCACCUUGGUGCUUCUUCUUAAAGUAAUAUGUCAACCUCUGGGUUCUUUAGUCUGAAAUCUCAUUGUUCCGCUGAGAACUUACUUCUCAAAUGGAUGAUGCUCUGGUCUGAAUGUUUGUAUCCACCCCAAAUUCAUAUGUUGAAAACCUAAUAUUCAAGGUGAUAGGAUUGGGGGGGGGACCUGUGGGAGGUGAUGAGGUCCUAGCACCACUUGAACAGUGUUGGAGUCUUUAUAAGAGAGGUGGCGGAGGCCUAGCUGUCCCCUCCACCAUGUGGGGUCACAGUAAGACAUGGGACCUCCCCCAACCCUGAUCUUAGACCCCCAUCAUUCAGAACCGUUUGGGGUUUGUAGCUGCAAACUAUUACUUUCAGAAUGGAUAAGCAAUGAGGUCCUGCUGUACAGCUCAGGGAAUUCUGUCCAAUCCCUUGUGAUAGAACAGGAUGGAAGAUAACGUGAGAAAAGCAUGUAUAUACAUACAUACAUGUAUAUAGGACUAGGUCACUUUGCCAUACAGUAGAAAUUGACAGAACAUUGUAAAUCCACAAUACUUUAAUUUUUAAAAAUUAAAAGAAAAAAAUAUAUAUAUAGUUUACAGGCUGCCCAGUCUGUGGUACUGUGUUUUAGCAGCACAAACAGACUAAGACCGAGGAUUAUUUUUCCUUCACAGACAGUAUACCUGAGGGUCGGGAUCAGGGACCGGGGUCCCCCUUGCCUCUCUGUGCUGCCUGCAGACCGUCGCUUCAUCUCCACAUUUCAAAACCCCUGCUCCCAUGAGACGGAAACGAUUGAAAUCUGUCCUACCGCCUCUUCACUGCUGCCAGAAUGGUUCUCCCGGUCGCUUCCUUCUUUCAUUGACAGUUUUAACCUCUGGAUCACUGGUUUAUUUCCCAUUUCUUCAUCUACCUUCUACCCUAUUCCUGCAAAUUACUGGAUGCUGGCAUCCACCCGGAGGUGCCAUCCAUGGUGAUUGUGGAGGUACCGUCCACAUCUUGACCUUGGAGCUUCGGGCAUCCUCAGCUGCAGUGGCCUUCCCUGCAGUGCCCUAAGGCCAUCGCCUCCCAGGUCCUACAUCAGAAAACAAUGCCUCCUGCUGAAUAGCAUUGAGAACUAUGUCUAGAUACUCAUGUUGCAACAGAACAAAGGGUGGGGGAAAAACUGUAAUUGCAAUGUAUACAUGUAAGGAUAACCUGACCCCCUUGCUGUACAGUGGGAAA
RNAcentral lists this long non-coding RNA (4674 nucleotides) under Sus scrofa (pig). RNAcentral's name for it is "lncRNA (ENSSSCG00035011648.1)". The record is from RNAcentral. Lineage: Eukaryota; Metazoa; Chordata; Mammalia; Artiodactyla; Suidae.